GAUGAAGAACGCAGCGAAAUGCGAUACGUAAUGUGAAUUGCAGAAUUCAGUGAAUCAUCGAAUCUUUGAACGCACAUUGCGCCCCUUGGUAUUCCGAGGGGCAUGCCUGUUCGAGCGUCAUUUCAACCCCUCAAGCUUCGGCUUGGUGUUGGGCCGCGCCGCUGCACCAGCAGCUGGCGGGCCUCAAAAUCAGUGGCGGUGCCGUCUCGGCUCUAAGCGUAGUAACAUCUCUCGCUCUGGAGACCUGGCGGUGGCUUGCCAGACAACCCCCAACUUUCUUUAAGGUUUGACCUCGGAUCAGGUAGGGAUACCCGCUGAACUUAAGCAUAUCAAUAAGCGGAGGA
This 344-nucleotide unclassified non-coding RNA is filed under the name soil metagenome. Its description in RNAcentral is "partial contains 5.8S ribosomal RNA, internal transcribed spacer 2, and large subunit ribosomal RNA". The stretch from base 1 to 120 matches the Rfam family "5.8S ribosomal RNA", at positions 35 to 154 of the family's 154-position model. The record is from RNAcentral.